Molecule: ribosomal RNA, 339 nt
Filed under: uncultured bacterium
Lineage: Bacteria
Description: bacterial SSU rRNA
Rfam family: Bacterial small subunit ribosomal RNA
Source: RNAcentral
GAGUUUGAUCGUGGCUCAGGAUGAACGCUAGCUACAGGCUUAACACAUGCAAGUCGAGGGGCAUCAGGAAGAAAGCUUGCUUUCUUUGCUGGCGACCGGCGCACGGGUGAGUAACACGUAUCCAACCUGCCCUUUACUCGGGGAUAGCCUUUCGAAAGAAAGAUUAAUACCCGAUAGCAUAAUGAUUCCGCAUGGUUUCAUUAUUAAAGGAUUCCGGUAAAGGAGGGACUCGCGUCCGAUUAGAUAGUUGGUGAGGUAAAGGCUCACCAAGUCGACGAUCGGUAGCCGGACUGAGAGGUUGAACGGCCACAUUGGGACUGAGACACGGCCCAGACCUCC